GAAAUUUUAGUUUAAUAUAAAAUAUUUCAUUUACAUUGAAGAGAUUUAAAUAAUAUAAAAAUUUUA
This 66-nucleotide transfer RNA is filed under the name Chrysis rubripyga. RNAcentral's name for it is "tRNA-Val". The record is from RNAcentral. Lineage: Eukaryota; Metazoa; Arthropoda; Insecta; Hymenoptera; Chrysididae.